This 607-nucleotide ribosomal RNA is filed under the name uncultured beta proteobacterium. RNAcentral describes it as "bacterial SSU rRNA". It matches the Rfam family "Bacterial small subunit ribosomal RNA", at positions 1 to 543 of the family's 1533-position model. Lineage: Bacteria; Pseudomonadati; Pseudomonadota; Betaproteobacteria. The record is from RNAcentral.
CAACGCGUGGGAGCUCUCCCAUAUGGUCGACCUGCAGGCGGCCGCGAAUUCACUAGUGAUUAGAGUUUGAUCAUGGCUCAGAUUGAACGCUAGCGGCAUGCUUAACACAUGCAAGUCGAACGGUAACAGGCCUAGCUUGCUAGGUGCUGACGAGUGGCGGACGGGUGAGUAACGCGUAGGAAUCUGCCUUCUAGUGGGGGAUAACUUGGGGAAACUCAAGCUAAUACCGCAUAAGCCCUAAGGGGGAAAGCAAGGGACAGUGAUGCCUUGUGCCAGAAGAUGAGCCUGCGUCGGAUUAGCUAGUUGGUAGGGUAAAAGCCUACCAAGGCGAUGAUCCGUAGCUGGUCUGAGAGGAUGACCAGCCACACUGGGACUGAGACACGGCCCAGACUCCUACGGGAGGCAGCAGUGGGGAAUAUUGGACAAUGGGCGAAAGCCUGAUCCAGCAAUGCCGCGUGUGUGAAGAAGGCCUGCGGGUUGUAAAGCACUUUCGGUAGGGAAGAAGGCCUUAGUGUUAAUAGCACUAAGGAUUGACAUUACCUACAGAAGAAGCCCCGGCUAACUCUGUGCCAGCAGCCGCGGUAAUACGAAUCGAAUUCCCGCGGCC